AUUGAACGCUGGCGGAAUGCUUUACACAUGCAAGUCGAACGGCAGCACGGACUUCGGUCUGGUGGCGAGUGGCGAACGGGUGAGCAACAUAUCGGAACGUAUCCAAUAAUGGGGGAUAACGAGUCGAAAGAUUCGCUAAUACCGCAUACGCCCUACGGGGGAAAGCUGGGGACCUUCGGGCCUGGCGUUAGUGGAGCGGCCGAUAUCUGAUUAGCUAGUUGGUGAGGUAAAGGCUCACCAAGGCGACGAUCAGUAGCUGGUCUGAGAGGACGACCAGCCACACUGGAACUGAGACACGGUCCAGACUCCUACGGGAGGCAGCAGUGGGGAAUUUUGGACAAUGGGCGCAAGCCUGAUCCAGCCAUUCCGCGUGAGUGAAGAAGGCCUUCGGGUUGUAAAGCUCUUUCGCAAGGGAAGAAAACUUAGCCACUAACAUUGGUUGAGGUUGACGGUACCUUGAUAAGAAGCACCGGCUAACUACGUGCCAGCAGCCGCCGUAA
Molecule: ribosomal RNA, 500 nt
Filed under: uncultured bacterium
Lineage: Bacteria
Description: partial 16S ribosomal RNA
Rfam family: Bacterial small subunit ribosomal RNA
Source: RNAcentral